GACGAACGCUGGCGGCGUGCCUAAUACAUGCAAGUAGAACGCUGAAGGAGGAGCUUGCUCUUCUGGAUGAGUUGCGAACGGGUGAGUAACGCGUAGGUAACCUGCCUGGUAGCGGGGGAUAACUAUUGGAAACGAUAGCUAAUACCGCAUAAGAGUAGAUGUCGCAUGACAUUUGCUUAAAAGGUGCAAUUGCAUCACUACCAGAUGGACCUGCGUUGUAUUAGCUAGUUGGUGAGGUAACGGCUCACCAAGGCAACGAUACAUAGCCGACCUGAGAGGGUGAUCGGCCACACUGGGACUGAGACACGGCCCAGACUCCUACGGGAGGCAGCAGUAGGGAAUCUUCGGCAAUGGACGGAAGUCUGACCGAGCAACGCCGCGUGAGUGAAGAAGGUUUUCGGAUCGUAAAGCUCUGUUGUAAGAGAAGAACGAGUGUGAGAGUGGAAAAGUUCACACUGGACGGU
This 464-nucleotide ribosomal RNA is filed under the name Streptococcus mitis. Its description in RNAcentral is "bacterial SSU rRNA". It matches the Rfam family "Bacterial small subunit ribosomal RNA", at positions 28 to 476 of the family's 1533-position model. Lineage: Bacteria; Bacillati; Bacillota; Bacilli; Lactobacillales; Streptococcaceae. The record is from RNAcentral.